CCCUGCCAUUUGUACACACCGCCCGUCGCUACUACCGAUUGGAAGUUUUAGUGAGGCAUUUGGACCUGCUAACCACAAGCGAGGCAACUUGCUUAGGCCAGCGGGGAAGUCUGUCGAACUCAAAUUUC
RNAcentral lists this ribosomal RNA (128 nucleotides) under uncultured eukaryote. Its description in RNAcentral is "partial small subunit ribosomal RNA". It matches the Rfam family "Eukaryotic small subunit ribosomal RNA", at positions 1651 to 1773 of the family's 1831-position model. The record is from RNAcentral.